GGCAAAAGUUCCCCUAGCCAUGAUCUCAUCAUUUCCUCGCCGACUGCCAUAUGAGUUGAAGUCCUUCCUUUCAACACCACGCUCCUUCAGAUAUCUAGCAGCAGGGCUGUCAGGGUGAAUACUUCCGGCAGGUGAGAUGUGAUCAGUUGUGAUACUGUCACCAAAGUUCAGGAGACAGUAAGCAUCCUUCACAGGCCGUGGGCCAGGAGGGGACAUUGUCAUAUCCUUGAAAUAAGGAGGCUCAUGGAUUGCUAACCUCAGCAAUCUCUUCAGUGGAAGGCCAGAUGUCCCUGAAGUAAACCUCCUUCCCAUCUUUCGAGAUGCCAAUUGGUUCUUUCUCAAAAUCAAUAUUGACCUGUGGCAUAUCUGGCAGUUUAGAAAAUGGGCAGAACUUUUGACAUGCAUUUGAAAUUACAGGCAUAUGUCAAACAAAAUCUGUUAUCUUACCGUGCCAGCAAGGGCAUAGGCCACAACCAAUGGAGGAGAGGCAAGAUAAUUUGCUCUGGUUAAUGCGUGCACACGCCCUUCAAAAUUUCUGUUUCCAGAUAACACGGCAGCAGCGACAAUAUCU
RNAcentral lists this small RNA (571 nucleotides) under Oryza sativa Japonica Group (Japanese rice). Its description in RNAcentral is "sRNA Os03g0136975". Lineage: Eukaryota; Viridiplantae; Streptophyta; Magnoliopsida; Poales; Poaceae. The record is from RNAcentral.